This 250-nucleotide ribosomal RNA is filed under the name uncultured bacterium. RNAcentral describes it as "partial small subunit ribosomal RNA". It matches the Rfam family "Bacterial small subunit ribosomal RNA", at positions 26 to 278 of the family's 1533-position model. The record is from RNAcentral.
AGGACGAACGCUGGCGGCGUGCUUAACACAUGCAAGUCGAACGGUAAGGCCCCUUCGGGGGUACACGAGUGGCGAACGGGUGAGUAACACGUGAGCAACCUGCCCUUGACUCUGGAAUAACAGUUGGAAACAGCUGCUAAUACCGGAUAUGACUUUGUGCGACAUCGCACGAAGUGGAAAGCCCUGGCGGUCAAGGAUGGGCUCGCGGCCUAUCAGCUUGUUGGUGAGGUAACGGCUCACCAAGGCUUCG